CCAAACAAGCCAUUAAGUGCUGAAUAAAUUUUGAGCUGCAAGAUUUACAGAAUAAUUUGUAGUAGAAAUCUUCCCGGGAAAAGGAUAUGGCGGGAAAUCUCACACUUUCUUUCCCAUAUAUAAACAACCCGCCACACAAGCCCUUCUAUUCUUCUCCAAAUUAAAAAAAAAAAAGAAAAGAAAAAUCCGUUUAGGGUUUUCAAUUUCCCCAUUUUUCUGAAAACCCCAAAUUAUGCCUACAGAAUUGUGUUAGACACACAGCAGUAGAAACUCUAAACUUCAUUUUCUAUUCAACUUCGCUCUGUAUUGACACAAGUAAAUGGGAAACAAAGGCACCGAUGAAGUCAUUUCAACAGUCAGAUCGAUCGUCGGCCUGGAUUUUUCCGACAUGGACAUCAUCCGAGCCCUCCACAUGGCCAAUAACGACCCUACAGCUGCUAUUAACAUUAUUUUUGAUAGUCCGAGGCUGUUCAAGAAACCUGAAUACCUUAAAAAAACUGGGCUCUCCAACGGCAAUUUGAAUCCCAAACCCCCAACUGUUGAGUCGAAUUUAGAAUUCAAUGCUAAAAGGGUGGGGAAUUCUAAUUCGGCUUCGAACUCAAAUGGGAACCUGAACGCUAGGAGUGGAAAAAUUGAGGGCGCGGAUAAUGAUAAUGGUAAUAGUACGUUGGGGAAAGAAAUGGGGAGUGAGUGGUGGUUAGUGGGAACCGCUGAGGUGGCGGGGCUGUCAACAUGUAAAGGAAGGAGCUUGAAUCCCGGUGAUGAGGUGAAUUUCACAUUCCCGGUUGAGAGGAAGUCGACGACACCCUCACCUGGGAAGUUUGGGGGUGGCCGUGGCCGGCCAGCAGCAGCUUGCUCAGAAAUUGUACGAUUUUCAACUAAAGCUCAUGGUGAGGUAAUGUAUGUGUGUCCUCUAUUAAAUUGCAUUUCAAGAAAAUAUGAAUUGUAACCAGUUAUUUAUUUGCUACACUAGGUAGAUGUUUCCAUGUUUAAUUGUGAAUGCAUCACGUUUAAUUUAAAGGAAAUAGAAAGUUGAAGUGAACAUGAAAAAUAAUAAGAUACUUAGUUAAGUAUGAUGUAGCAAACUAGCAUAUAAUGCUAGUCAUUCAAAAGGUAAACAGAAUCUGAACUGCUAUAAUUUCUUAUAAAGUACAUGGGUUAGAUUGGUUUUGCAUUGUAACAAAAUGUGGAAGACAUGUUGUGCAGAUUGGCCGCAUUCCAAAUGAAUGGGCUAGGUGUCUUUUGCCGCUAGUGAGUCAUCAGCUCUUUCAAGAACAGUAACAGCAUAUGCACGGACCUGUAAUGGAGGUGAUAUUUUGAAACACUCGGCUUACUAAUUUAACAAUACUUCUUGGUUUAGUAUGUUCAGCCAACCAAAGAAAAAAAUUGACCUGUAUUAAUAUUAACAAGAAAACAUCUGAAUCUACUUUAACCUGCUUUAAAGCAGAUAUCUUGCAACGUGUUACGAUAUCUAAUUCAUCAGCUAUUUGCUGAAAACAAAAUCUAAAUAGAACAUUUAAUUUGUCAAAUGAGAGAAGCACACAGUUGCCAAUAUGUGUCUUUAAUACUAACCUCUUCACUCUCAAAAACUGAAGAUAGAAGCUCCAGUGCAUCAGAAACAUCAAUUGUCUCCCACUUGCCCAUCAGUUCUAAUGCCUGCUUUGCUUCCUGACAAUAACACAAAUUAUUAUAAUUUUAUUUUUUUUACCAAUCGGUGAGAGAUGGAGGAUAAAGAAAAAUGAUGCAAGACAACUAGUACAAUGAGUGCAUAUUACUGGAAAAUUAAAAGCAUCACAUAAAUGGAACAUGCUGGAACUUUACCUGAACAUCACUCCAUUCAACACAACGCAGAAAUUUUGUCAAAGCCCUCUUUUCAGACAUCAGUGAAAAACGAAAUUUCCAGAGAUCCUGCUUCUCCUCUCCGCUCAAGGUUCUUGUUGGGGGGUAUUUCAAUAUUCUUUGAAUUGACCUAGUACAUAAAUAGGAUAGGAUUUCCGAUUAGCUAGGAUUAAAAAUCCCAUUAACAUAGAGAAGUUGCAGUGACGAAUAUUAUGGCCAUUAUUUAGGUAAAUUUAAAAAUAUUAAAAAAAAAAAAAAAAAAAAAGAAGCAUUUUUGAAUAGUGUAUUGAGUUGUGUCCAAUAGAACAUUAGCUAACAUAUAUCGACAAUUAGAAUUUGUUGCACAAUACUUCUCAACGUUAUAUGCAUACUGAAACAGACAAAGAUAAAUCACCAAUGAUCUUCAUGUAAAUAUUUUCUCAGAGUAGGUAAACAACAAUAAGAGAAACAUUAUGUAAAAGAGAAAAUGAAUAAAAAAGUAAAAAAGAGCAGAGAAAUGAAAUAAUAUUCCAAAAGGCAAGAGCGUUGUCCUAGUGGAAAAUAAAAUUCAUUACCAGAAUAGAUAAGAACCUUUAGAGUAAAAUAAUUUUUGAGAGAUGUGAUCCACAUAAUAAAAUGGUCAAGGGAAAGAAAAUAUAAGGUUUUUCUUCUGAAAAGAAACCUUCUCAUUCAACCAUAUUAGCAUCUUCAACAUUUAGCUCUAACCCAUUCUCUUAUAUCGAAUUUUAAGCCAGAUCCUUUAUGGUAAUUCUAGAUUUUCUGCAAUUUUCAGGGUCUUUAUUUGGUCAACUAUGUUUUCCGCAAUCCUAAUUUAACAGCCAAUUAUUUAGCAAUGUUAUGAGUUUUUACGUCCUAAUAGGAAUAAGAGAUCUUUCUGAGUUUUUUGGGUAAAUUAGAGAUCUGAUCAUUGAACUUUAGAGAGUUCUUCACUUCGGAUCUUUUCUUACGAUUGUGUAAAUGCAAUAAAAAAUAUCGUUUUUGUCUUUUAACCCUGCAAAGAUUAUAUCCCAAGCAAUCUGAUUCAAUUUUUACAAGUUAUGUCCGAAACUAAUGAAAAAUUGAACGGAAAAUCAAUUCUCCAACAUUUUCCUUUUCUUCCGCAGGGAAAGAUACCUUUGCUGUUUCUUAAAAUACUCCAAAUCAAACAACGUUGUUAACCUAAAAGUCAUUUAAGUAAGCAAAGCAGGAUUACUGCUAUCUCAGGAUAUAUCAGAUAUGGAAGUUAUUCACCAUCAAUGAACACUUUAUCCAUCUUUCUGAAAUCUACAAAUUUCUUACUCACAAUACAACCUACUCUUAGUCUUAAAAUUUAAAACUUAAAAUGUAGUUCCAACUUCCAAAAACACUGUUCAUUCUCAUGAAAUCAGACGACAAUUCUAUAUAAAUGACAACUUAGCUUUCAGCACCAUCAAGAAACGGGUUAGGAGGGAAAAAAAACUGCAUCGAGAAGACUACUUAGUGCAGAAUUUGUCUAGAGGACUCCAAGAGUUAGUUGUGAUCUAUCCCACGGAUGCACGAGUCACCAGCUGGGAAGAGCUCCCUGUCACGUCCAAGAAAACCACUGGAAAUUGACCACUUGCCUAUACGAGCAUUAGGUGCCAACCAAAGCAAUGUAACAACGAUGCCAACCAAUAGAUCAACAGCAUACAAUUCAAAGUCGGCCCAGAAAUCCUUUCCCCUUUGCUUAACUUCUGUAAAUGUUGCACAACAAGAAUCAAUUACCACCUGGAACGUUACCAGACCAAUAGUCAAACCUCCACCAAACAAUUGAAAGAAAAUUAUAUGCUACAUUUCACAUGUAAACACAUUUCAUGCAAACAUUAUACUAUCUACAAAAGUGUGGAUGACUUCAAAGAGCUUUCCCCAAUUGUGGAGAGUCUAAGAUACCUUAGAUUCCUCUAUAGAAUGCCAAGGAACAAAGCAUCCAAGUUCUUGCCAAAUUUCCACGUCAUUUUCUAGUAGAAAAUUUAAGUGCAUGUUUGGUAAUGCUUUUAAGAGUUAUAAGCUGGCCAAACAUCAUUUUGAACCAAAUCCCUUGUGACUCACUACUUAUAAGCACUUAAAAGUUUAGCCAAGCAAGCACUAAGUAAAAAAAUUUAUUUGUUUGUUGAGAUGAAAAAAAGGAAUUUAGAAAAGGUUAAGAGAGGAAGUCAGUUCAAUUGAGAACGUGACAUAAUUGUUAGACAACGACAAGAGAGUUAGGAAGUUGAGAUUACAUAUUACUUUAAAAAUCACUAAGUUCUAUUGGGAGUGUGAGAUAAUUAUUCCACAUCCUAAUAUUAACACUACAUUUAUCUUGGUGCAUGUGAGCAAGCAAGGAAUUCAAGAAGCACAAAGAAGACAAUUUGGUGGUGAGGUGAGGGGGAGACCUGUCGCACACACAAUUAGGAAAAAGGAAAGAGAAAUAGAUGAGAUGGAGACAAUUGGACUACAUGAAAGGAGGUAAGAUAAGCUCUAAUAGGGAGGUGAGUGGGAGCAUGUGAAGUUGAAAUGUUGAUAGGGAGAGGGCUAGGUUGAGGCAGAGUGAGUAAAUACAGGUAAUUUGGGUUCAAGGCAAGAUAGAAUGAGCCUGGUAGGAAGUAAAAAGAAAGAUCUUGAUUUUUUAAAGAUUUGCUUGAAGUUCACAAGUCAAAUUAACUUUGAGAAGUUAUUACGACUUUAUACACGGUAAAUUUAAUGCAUCAAGUAACCAAAAGUGGCUUAAUGCUUGUUUGGCGGAGCUUUUUCAUAAAAAUUAUGUGCGUUUUUUUGACCGUUGUUAGGUGGGACCCAAUGUGAGAGCCAAAGUCAACAAAGAUGGUUGAUUUUGAUUUGCAAUGGUCCAAGAUACCUUUUUUCCUUUAAAAGCGACUCCAAACAGGCCUUUAGUUAACGAAUCCCGUCAAAAGCGAGGGUAUUCUAUUUUCUAUCCCAUUUGGUAGCAAUUUUUCAUCCAAAAAAAUCAAUUUUUUUUACCGCUAUUUUAUUAUUUUAGCCGUUAUUUUUUACUUUUUCACUCAACAAUAAAAAAAAUCGAUUCUCAUAAUCACUAUUGAACAGGCCCUAAGAAAUUAUCAUCUUCUAGAAGAUUAUAUAGUCUGAAAAAACAAUAAACUUAUCAAUCAACAAAUCAAUUCUUAAAAAGCGAUGUCCCUAAAAUACGAAUUAGGCCUUGUGUUAGUGUAAAUAAUUUUUUCAGUGAAUUUGUACUUAAAAUUAAUAUUUGAUUACGGUGAAACCCAAACAAGCCAUUAAGUGCUGAAUAAAUUUUGAGCUGCAAGAUUUACAGAAUAAUUUGUAGUAGAAAUCUUCCCGGGAAAAGGAUAUGGCGGGAAAUCUCACACUUUCUUUCCCAUAUAUAAACAACCCGCCACACAAGCCCUUCUAUUCUUCUCCAAAUUAAAAAAAGAAAAGAAAAGAAAAAUCCGUUUAGGGUUUUCAAUUUCCCCAUUUUUCUGAAAACCCCAAAUUAUGCCUACAGGGUUGUGUUAGAUACGCAGCAGUAUAACCUCUAAACUUCAUUUUCUAUUCAUUAUUAGGGUUUUUCUUCGUUCUGUAUUGACACAAGUAAAUGGGAAACAAAGGCACCGAUGAAGUCAUUUCAACAGUCAGAAAAAGAAAAGAAAAAUCCGUUUAGGGUUUUCAAUUUCCCCAUUUUUCUGAAAACCCCAAAUUAUGCCUACAGGGUUGUGUUAGAUACGCAGCAGUAUAACCUCUAAACUUCAUUUUCUCUUCAUUAUUAGGGUUUUUCUUCGUUCUGUAUUGACACAAGUAAAUGGGAAACAAAGGCACCGAUGAAGUCAUUUCAACAGUCAGAUCGAUCGUCGGCCUGGAUUUUUCCGACAUGGACAUCAUCCGAGCCCUCCACAUGGCCAAUAACGACCCUACAGCUGCUAUUAACAUUAUUUUUGAUAGUCCGAGGCUGUUCAAGAAACCUGAAUACCUUAAAAAAACUGGGCUCUCCAACGGCAAUUUGAAUCCCAAACCCCCAACUGUUGAGUCGAAUUUAGAAUUCAAUGCUAAAAGGGUGGGGAAUUCUAAUUCGGCUUCGAACUCAAAUGGGAACCUGAACGCUAGGAGUGGAAAAAUUGAGGGCGCGGAUAAUGAUAAUGGUAAUAGUACGUUGGGGAAAGAAAUGGGGAGUGAGUGGUGGUUAGUGGGA
Molecule: long non-coding RNA, 5980 nt
Filed under: Olea europaea (common olive)
Lineage: Eukaryota; Viridiplantae; Streptophyta; Magnoliopsida; Lamiales; Oleaceae
Description: long non-coding RNA (OEUR_LNC006344)
Source: RNAcentral